This 258-nucleotide long non-coding RNA is filed under the name Solanum tuberosum (potato). RNAcentral's name for it is "long non-coding RNA (STUB_LNC005178)". Lineage: Eukaryota; Viridiplantae; Streptophyta; Magnoliopsida; Solanales; Solanaceae. The record is from RNAcentral.
GAACGAACUACGCGAACCUGAUUCUCAUCCCGGUGAGAUACGUAGGCAACCCGUCUUGGGUUCGGUAUUCAUUUCUUCAAAUUUCAAAAAAAAAUUCAAAUAAAAACAAAUCAAAUAGUUUAUGCAUAUUUUCAAAGACAUAUCUGCAUGAACUACGCACACCUGAUUCUCAUUUUGAUGAGAUACGUAGGCAACCCUUCUUGGGUUCGGUAUUUAUUCAUUCUUUAAAAAAAAAUAAAAAUCAUUUUGUACAUAUUG